Molecule: unclassified non-coding RNA, 153 nt
Filed under: Drosophila ananassae
Lineage: Eukaryota; Metazoa; Arthropoda; Insecta; Diptera; Drosophilidae
Description: GF26839
Source: RNAcentral
CUCAAAACAAUAGUUUUAUUGUUCUUAUUGAUGUUUAAAGUCAUAGACUGCGGUUUCAAUUGCUAUUCUCCUUUUCAUUUCAAAUGCAUUUCGCGAAAACGCCUCAAAAUACCUAAAAUACCUAAAAGACAAUGAAUCUUAAUACUCUUAAAG